UUAUACUAUGUAGGCCAGACUAGUCUCAAACCCGAGAUCUUCCACCUCAGCUUCCUGAAUGCUGACACUGUCUGUCAGUCACUGUUCCUGAAGCAUGUGUUCCUUGUACUUCUAGCAAAGCAGGAGCCUUCUUUAGCCCCCAGUGGGGGGUCUAAGGACAGAUCCACAGCUGUGAGUCAAAGCUGCAUUGCUUCAGGCAACACCCAGUUCUUUUUCUCUCUCUGCCCCAGAGGGAAGUUUCUAGAACUGUGGAAGAUAUAAAGGUAGAAACACUAAGAAAAACAGAAGUCAUUGAAGACCAGUUGUACAGCUGGACCCUUGUUUUGAAGCUUUCCAGAACAAGUAAAGAAAUCGAAGGGAACUGUGUGUUUCCACACCUACCCACCCACAGGCUGCUGAGAUCCACUGUGUCUGCAGCAGAUCCCCAACCCUAGCGGAGCCAGCCUCUGCUUCACCUCCCUCAGAAGCCCCAGGCAGAUGGUAAUGGCUGUUUAAACACACCCCUGCACUCAUCUGCAAUCCAGCAAAGGAGGAGAAUGAAGCUUGGAAUAGAACAUCAAACAAGACACAGUCUGCCAAGAUCAGCCAGUGGCAGGAAGGAAGAGCGUCCCCGGACAACUCGCACUAUGCCUGCCUUGCUUUACAGCCCAUGAGUUCCACAGGGCUAGCCUGCUCUACAGCUAGAGUCCCCGUUAUCCUGAGCUUCCUGGACUAGUCCUGACAAUACGGCAGAAAAGCCUGGUACUGUGCCAAGCAACGGGGACGCAGCACUGAGCAAUGGAGAGGCGGCGCCGGGCAAUAGAGACGCAGUGGAGAGCAGACAGGCAUCUCUGUGCACAGCCCAGAGUGGGAAACAGACAGGUAAACAGGCAAUUACAAUACCGGUGAUAAGCACUGUGGUGGCGGACAUGCCGCUUCCCUCUUCAUAAAGAAAGCCAUGCCAGCCUACGCAGACGUUGGAGUUACACAUAAUUUCCUUUCUCCCAAGCCUAUAUGUAAUAAUAGUCCCGUGUGAAAUGUUUCUGUUCUUUAUAAUGGUACCUAUUAUUUCCAUUAGUAUAAAUAACACAAGCAAGGCACCUAGCGCAUAGGCAGGGCUCAAUCAGCAGUCAUUGUUAAGGUGGGCUCCUGACCUGGCACUAUCUCUUGCUUUGGGGCUCAUUUUUCUCUGCAGUAAAUUAGGAAUCAUAACAGCUAUUCUAUAGGUUCAUUGUGAAGAUCACAUGAAUGGUAUAUGUGAAGACAUUGUGUAAGCUGGAGGGAAUUAUAUUAAAGAAUUUCACU
Molecule: long non-coding RNA, 1284 nt
Organism: Mus musculus (house mouse)
Lineage: Eukaryota; Metazoa; Chordata; Mammalia; Rodentia; Muridae
Product: predicted gene, 51649
Exons: 4
Source: RefSeq, a predicted model, not a curated record